Molecule: ribosomal RNA, 506 nt
Filed under: uncultured bacterium
Lineage: Bacteria
Description: partial 16S ribosomal RNA
Rfam family: Bacterial small subunit ribosomal RNA
Source: RNAcentral
AUUGAACGCUGGCGGCAGGCCUAACACAUGCAAGUCGAGCGGUAGCACAAAGGGGCUUGCUCCUUGGGCGACGAGUGGCGGACGGGUGAGUAAUGUCUGGGAAACUGCCUGAUGGAGGGGGAUAACUACUGGAAACGGUAGCUAAUACCGCAUAACGUCGCAAGACCAAAGAGGGGGACCUUCGGGCCUCUUGCCAUCAGAUGUGCCCAGAUGGGAUUAGCUAGUAGGUGGGGUAAUGGCUCACCUAGGCGACGAUCCCUAGCUGGUCUGAGAGGAUGACCAGCCACACUGGAACUGAGACACGGUCCAGACUCCUACGGGAGGCAGCAGUGGGGAAUAUUGCACAAUGGGCGCAAGCCUGAUGCAGCCAUGCCGCGUGUAUGAAGAAGGCCUUCGGGUUGUAAAGUACUUUCAGCGGGGAGGAAGGUGAUACGGUUAAUAACCGUGUCAAUUGACGUUACCCGCAGAAGAAGCACCGGCUAACUCCGUGCCAGCCGCCGCGGUAA